Long non-coding RNA from Helianthus annuus (common sunflower), 637 nucleotides. RefSeq lists it as uncharacterized. The transcript is spliced from 2 exons. NCBI's taxonomy places the organism in Eukaryota, Viridiplantae, Streptophyta, Magnoliopsida, Asterales, Asteraceae. The record is from RefSeq and is a predicted model, not a curated record.
UUCCUCCUUGUUUGAUACCAGGUUUCAAAUUCGUAUGAGGUUGUUUCUUCUUGAAAUAGUGUGGUGUAUAAUAUUCAUUGAGUUAUUAUUAUUUUAUGAAAAUUUUCAUGUUCUUUGAAACUUAUCAUGUCUUAUGAAAUCGUUUCAGUCCUCAGUCUUAGGGGCUGUUUGGUUGCCUCUUAAUGGCUCCAUUAAGAAGCUUGGCCUCUGAAUCGGUCAGACAUGGGGUGUUUGGUUCACCAAAUAACAACCUCUGAAUGAAACCAUUCAGAUCUGAAUGGUUCAACACUUUCCAACAUCUGAAUGGAACAUUGGACUUGUAUACCCUUCCCAAGAAAACAAUCUGCCACUCCCCCCUUUCUCUCCACAGCCGCCCCCUCCACAACCGCCUCCUCCACAGCCGCCCCCUUUCUUCUCCAGCGGCGAUGUUUGGUGUUUUCCGGCGAAAAGUCGUUAGCGGAAGCUCUUCUGCUUCGCCAUUCACGUUAUUGAUGAUAAUGACGAUGAAGAUGAAGAUGAAAGUGGAGAAAUAUAAUGGAGUCUGGAGUUGCAGAGCUAUACGAAUUUUGUUUUGAUUGUUGAUUCCAUUACAUAUUGGGGAAAAUUGAAAUGUUUACUGAAUUUAUUUUUUUACCUA